This 512-nucleotide long non-coding RNA is filed under the name Medicago truncatula (barrel medic). RNAcentral's name for it is "long non-coding RNA (MTRU_LNC005128)". Lineage: Eukaryota; Viridiplantae; Streptophyta; Magnoliopsida; Fabales; Fabaceae. The record is from RNAcentral.
UAAAAAUAAGUAAUAAAUAAAUAAGUUUUUCUUUGAACUUUUUAAAAUAACAAAUCAGUAUUGUUUAACAUCAAAAUAUACAAUUCUUAAGAGUAAGGCCCUUGGCCUUUAACUACCCAAAGACACACCCUAGUUGGUCAUAACUUUGGACGCUUGCGAGAACUCUCGCUAAGGCGCACCCAAGGUCCACAUCACUCUAAGCCUCCAACUGUAAGUCAUUAUCAUUAUCUGAUUUUCAAAUACGGAAAAAAGGUCAACUCCCAACAACAAUAAAUAUACAAGUUAUACAUAUAAUUAACAAAGUCAAGCAAAUAGUACAAUUAAUAAUAUAAACUACACAAAACGUCAAGACCCAAGACACUAGUGGACUCGACAAAUGAGCGACACCUUAAAGUUGACCUAUAUGCGACACAAAUGAUCCGGAUAUCACCUCCCUUAAAGGGCAACAAAAGUUCUUCGUAGAUAUUUGUGAGCUUCAACCAAUUAUGAACACUCCACCGUAGCUCCAACCA